Molecule: long non-coding RNA, 256 nt
Organism: Tarenaya hassleriana
Lineage: Eukaryota; Viridiplantae; Streptophyta; Magnoliopsida; Brassicales; Cleomaceae
Exons: 3
Source: RefSeq, a predicted model, not a curated record
CCCUCUCCAAGUCCAAGAAGAUGAAAAUGGAUUUCAGCUUGAUGAAGUUCUACGUUCUUCUAAUUGCAUCGUCGUAUCAUUUCCAAACCGGAGAUGGUAGAACUAUAAAUAUCAUGGAAAUUAAGCACAAGAAUGAGAGUGGAGCCGCUGAUUAUUCUCAAGUGUUUAAAGAUGCAUGGGAGGAGUUAUGCCACUCAAAGUCGGAUGGCGUACCAACUCUCUACGUACCGGAGAACGCAGCGGUUACCUUACAUUC